RNAcentral lists this long non-coding RNA (1129 nucleotides) under Homo sapiens (human). RNAcentral describes it as "novel transcript". Lineage: Eukaryota; Metazoa; Chordata; Mammalia; Primates; Hominidae. The record is from RNAcentral.
AGUGACUUCGCCGCUGCUGUAGUUCCCCGGCUGGAUGCGGUGACUGGUGCCAGUGCUCAGGCGCCCGCUGCCCUUGACCUCCCGCCCCGCGAGCCCUAACUCAGCGCAGGAGGACCGGCUGCCGCCGCCGCCGCCGCCAGUGGCUGCUGGGAAAAACCUUCGACACCUUCUGCCCUCUGGGCCCUGCCUUGGUGACCAAGGACAGUGUAGCAGAUCCACACAACUUAAAGAUCUGCUGUCGAGUGAAUGGGGAAGUGGUCCAGAGCAGCAACACCAACCAGAUGGUAUUCAAGACAGAGGACCUGAUAGCCUGGGUGUCCCAGUUUGUUACCUUUUACCCAGGGGAUGUCAUCCUGACUGGGACCCCCCCACCUCCACCCAGGUGUCGGUGUAUUCAGGAAACCUCCUGUCUUUCUCAAGGUCUCUGAAGGUCCAGACAGCACUGAUGGCGAGCUUUGGGUCCGCACACUCUGGAAAGAAGAGAGAAGUGAAGGCUCUAGGUAGGGAGAACAGAGAGCCACUGGGCACAGGCUUCUCUCCUCUUGUUUAAAGAAGCCCAGGGAGGGAUAGAGCUCUGACUGGACAGAAGACUGUACUCUGCAGCCUGCCUUCCUAGAGUUGGGUUGUCACUGUCCUGCAGGGGGCAGCAGCCACCAGCAAACACCACUGCCUGCAGGAGCCUGGGCUGACUGGUUGGGACUCACCGAAGAUCCCUUCUUCCUGGGCGGUGGCCUGCAGGAACUGGAACAGCUGCUCUGUGUAGCCCAACUCUGCAGAAGAGAGAAGACCUAGACCUGGCACCCAGCACAGACACAGCCUGCCUCGAGGACUGCAAGGGAACAAGGGCCUCACCAGUAUCGGGCAGCUGGCCCUGGCGGAGGAAGGCGGCAGCCUGUGCAAAGGCCUUGAGCAGCGGGCUGAGCAGGCGGCAGAGGAAAAGAAAGAAAUCUGGGCAGUGUGACUGCUGGCUGAGCUGGAGGGGACAGGCCGGGGUGAGUGCAGCUCCCCACCGCCUCCCUACCACCUCCCUCCAGGGGCAGCUUUUUGAAACACACCCUGAAGUACCGGCCGUCAGCCUCUCCGAAGUCAUCACUGUCACUAUCAGUAAAGUCCCCACUCGGUUUCCACA